Long non-coding RNA from Ctenocephalides felis (cat flea), 481 nucleotides. RefSeq lists it as uncharacterized. The record is from RefSeq and is a predicted model, not a curated record. The transcript has 5 exons. Lineage: Eukaryota; Metazoa; Arthropoda; Insecta; Siphonaptera; Pulicidae.
AAUGCAUAAUUUUAUUUCUUUUACUUGAAAAAAAGUUACAAAUUGACAAAGAAUAGUUACAAUUUGAAUGAAUAUAAAGAUGCAAACGAAGACUAUUCUGUGCUGGAGCGCUGCAUUGCACACGAAGACAGCUUUGGUGACGCAUCAACAAUGACAUUUAAUAAUAUGAAAUCACAUGGAGGCCACAAGAUACCAUAUCAAGCAAAUUGUUGAGUAUCGAAUGGCCAAGUAUCGAGUGAAAAUUCAACACUGACUCACUUCACCGGGAAACGCUCUGAAAAUAAUUUAAAAAGUCCUUUCAACCAUUGCUGCUCUGUACACUGACCCCUUCACCAGGAAUCGCUCUGAAAAUAAUUUAAAAAGUCCUUUCAAAUACUGCUGCUCUGUACACUGACCCCUUCACCAGGAAUCGCUCUGAAAAUAAUUUAAAAAGUCCUUUCAACUACUGCUGUUCUGCACACUGACCCUUCACCAGGAAUCG